GACGAACGCUGGCGGCGUGCCUAACACAUGCAAGUCGAACGAGGUCCAAGAGAGCUUGCUCUCUGAAGACCUAGUGGCGAACGGGUGAGUAACACGUGAGCAACCUGCCCUGGAAUCGGGGAUAACUCGAGGAAACUCGAGCUAAUACCGGAUACCUUCCCUUGGCCGCAUGACCGAGGGAAGAAAGAAUUUCGUUCCAGGAGGGGCUCGCGGCCUAUCAGUUUGUUGGCGGGGUAACGGCCCACCAAGACUACGACGGGUAGCUGGUUUGAGAGAACGAUCAGCCACACUGGGACUGAGACACGGCCCAGACUCCUACGGGAGGCAGCAGUGGGGAAUCUUGCGCAAUGGGCGAAAGCCUGACGCAGCAACGCCGCGUGCGGGAUGACGGCCUUCGGGUUGUAAACCGCUUUCAGCAGGGACGAAAAUGACGGUACCUGCAGAAGAAGCCCCGGCUAACUACGUGCCAGCCGCCGCUGUAACAC
RNAcentral lists this ribosomal RNA (485 nucleotides) under uncultured bacterium. RNAcentral's name for it is "bacterial SSU rRNA". It matches the Rfam family "Bacterial small subunit ribosomal RNA", at positions 28 to 526 of the family's 1533-position model. The record is from RNAcentral.